Molecule: ribosomal RNA, 263 nt
Filed under: uncultured archaeon
Lineage: Archaea
Description: partial 16S ribosomal RNA
Rfam family: Archaeal small subunit ribosomal RNA
Source: RNAcentral
ACACGACUACAUUAGAUACCCGGGUAGUCCCAGCCCUAAACGAUGCGCGUUAGGUGUAUCGGUGACCACGAGUCACCGAGGUGCCGAAGGGAACCGUGAAACGUGCCGCCUGGGAGUACGUCCGCAAGGAUGAAACUUAAAGGAAUUGGCGGGGGAGCACCGCAACGGGAGGAGCGUGCGGUUUAAUUGGAUUCAACACCGUAAAACUCACCAGGGAAGACUGUUACAUGAAGGCCGAGAUGAAGACUCUGCUAGAUUUUCAG